Molecule: long non-coding RNA, 788 nt
Organism: Salvia splendens (bonfire salvia)
Lineage: Eukaryota; Viridiplantae; Streptophyta; Magnoliopsida; Lamiales; Lamiaceae
Exons: 2
Source: RefSeq, a predicted model, not a curated record
UUUGAAAGAUCGACGAAUUUAAUUUCAAACUUUGAAAGGUCAACCAAUAUAAUCUCCCUUUCCGAAAUCGAUAUAAUUUUAUUUUGACAAUCGAAUACCAGCUAAUGCUAUUAUAUCAUUAGUCUAAUUAAAUCCAAUUAUAUAUUAAAUAUGAACAUAUAAAUAAGGCGAAGUUGGGAGAAAAAGAAAAUCUGAAAUUGGUAGUGGAAAUCAGCAGUCUCACACCUCAAGAGCGUAAUAAAGGAUGCAGAUAUUCGUCAAAACCCUAAACGGAAAGACAAUUACGCUCGAGGUUGAGAGCAGCGACACCAUCGAUAAUGUCAAGGCCAAAAUUCAGGAUAAAGAAGGCAUACCUCCUGACCAGCAGAGGCUAAUAUUUGCUGGUAAACAAUUAGAAGAUGGCAGAUUACUAUAUCCUGAAGGAAUCAACGCUUCACCUUGUUUUGAGACUUAGGGGAGGUACUAUGAUCAAGGUUAAAACCCUUACUGGGAAAGAAAUUGAAAUCGAUAUUGAGCCUACUGAUACUAUCGACCGAAUCAAGGAAAGGGUUGAGGAGAAAGAGGGAAUUCCUCCGUUGCAGCAAAGGUUUGCUUUUUAUAACAUGAAACCAGUUUCCACUAACACACUGUCUCAUGGAGUACCUUUUUAGUUGUUGUUCGGAUUUGUCUUUAAUAAUUUUUAAAAAAAAUUCUAUGGAUUGUGAUGGUUUGUUUGUCUUUCUUCAUGAGCAUUCUUGUCACAUUAAUUUUCCUUCAUGCAAUUAAUCAGAGUGGCUUGCAUUAGUGAA